Molecule: ribosomal RNA, 1322 nt
Filed under: Leuconostoc mesenteroides
Lineage: Bacteria; Bacillati; Bacillota; Bacilli; Lactobacillales; Lactobacillaceae
Description: bacterial SSU rRNA
Rfam family: Bacterial small subunit ribosomal RNA
Source: RNAcentral
CAUGCCUAAUUACAUGCAAGUCGAACGCACAGCGAAAGGUGCUUGCACCUUUCAAGUGAGUGGCGAACGGGUGAGUAACACGUGGACAACCUGCCUCAAGGCUGGGGAUAACAUUUGGAAACAGAUGCUAAUACCGAAUAAAACUUAGUGUCGCAUGACACAAAGUUAAAAGGCGCUUCGGCGUCACCUAGAGAUGGAUCCGCGGUGCAUUAGUUAGUUGGUGGGGUAAAGGCCUACCAAGACAAUGAUGCAUAGCCGAGUUGAGAGACUGAUCGGCCACAUUGGGACUGAGACACGGCCCAAACUCCUACGGGAGGCUGCAGUAGGGAAUCUUCCACAAUGGGCGAAAGCCUGAUGGAGCAACGCCGCGUGUGUGAUGAAGGCUUUCGGGUCGUAAAGCACUGUUGUAUGGGAAGAACAGCUAGAAUAGGAAAUGAUUUUAGUUUGACGGUACCAUACCAGAAAGGGACGGCUAAAUACGUGCCAGCAGCCGCGGUAAUACGUAUGUCCCGAGCGUUAUCCGGAUUUAUUGGGCGUAAAGCGAGCGCAGACGGUUUAUUAAGUCUGAUGUGAAAGCCCGGAGCUCAACUCCGGAAUGGCAUUGGAAACUGGUUAACUUGAGUGCAGUAGAGGUAAGUGGAACUCCAUGUGUAGCGGUGGAAUGCGUAGAUAUAUGGAAGAACACCAGUGGCGAAGGCGGCUUACUGGACUGCAACUGACGUUGAGGCUCGAAAGUGUGGGUAGCAAACAGGAUUAGAUACCCUGGUAGUCCACACCGUAAACGAUGAACACUAGGUGUUAGGAGGUUUCCGCCUCUUAGUGCCGAAGCUAACGCAUUAAGUGUUCCGCCUGGGGAGUACGACCGCAAGGUUGAAACUCAAAGGAAUUGACGGGGACCCGCACAAGCGGUGGAGCAUGUGGUUUAAUUCGAAGCAACGCGAAGAACCUUACCAGGUCUUGACAUCCUUUGAAGCUUUUAGAGAUAGAAAUGUUCUCUUCGGAGACAAAGUGACAGGUGGUGCAUGGUCGUCCUCACCUCCUGUCCUGAGAAGUUUGGGUUAAUUCCCGCCACCAACGCCACCCCUUAUUGUUGUUUGCCGCCAUUCCAAAGGGGCCUCUUUCGAGAAAGGCGGGGGAGAAACCGGAGGAAGGGGGGGGGGAAAAUCAGAUAAUAAAGGCCCCUUUUAACUGGGGGGACCCCCUGCUUCAAUGGGGGUUAAAAACAAAUUGCCACCCGCGCCGGGGGAGGGAAUUUUUUAAAUAAAUUUCCCUUUUCGGAUUGGUGGUUUGCACUCCCCCCCCCCUAAAAACCGGAAUCUCCU